This is a non-coding RNA of Equus caballus (horse), 905 nucleotides long. Lineage: Eukaryota; Metazoa; Chordata; Mammalia; Perissodactyla; Equidae. The record is from RefSeq and is a predicted model, not a curated record.
AGAGCCAGUCCUUCUCAAAGCCUUGAGAAAUGUAAACAAACCAUAAAUAAUGGAUUUAUUAGUUUAAUUACUCAGUUCUCCCACAUGUUCAGUUGGGAAGCUGGGAAGCCAAAUGAAGCUAAUUGUAAAUGUGUGGUUGACAAAUACAAGGCCGGAAUGGUCAGGUAAUUGAAAGGCCAGGAGGAGGAGCAGUGGCUGACGUUGUUUCAUUGCUCCUGGAGGAGGAAGGGAGAGGUAUUGCUAGUGGGUAGCGAAGCCUCAUUUGCAGCCCAGAAGCAGGAACACACAGUAAGUGAUGACUGAUCAGAGCUGCAGGACCUCGCAUCUCAGUCUCAUAAUGUCUCAGAGCUUCACAGCGGGAAGGAGCACCGAGACCUUCACAUCUUGCAAUGUCUCAGGGAAGGAGACCAGGCUAUUUCCCUUAGGAAUGCAAGCCUGCUCUGUGUGGAGGCACUUACAUCCCAUCAGCUUAAGAAGGGUGGAGGAGGGGAGAAAGAGAGAUUAAACAUCUUUUGGCAAAAGUCCAGGACCAUCGCGGUUUUGAGGAUGAUGGACCCUGAUGAAUCUCAGCAAAUCCAUUUUAACGUCCUUUCUCCAUCUAUCUAUUAAAGCACGCCAUCCAUCCAGUGGUCAUCCUCCAUCAGCAGAACAUCGUAUACAUUCCAAAAUUAUGUGAGUUUUUCUAUAAAACGGUUCAAUAAUCCAGAUUGUCUUUGCUCCGUUGCCGUAAAUUAGUCUUUUAAUCUCAAAACUUCUCUAACUUUAAAUGACUAAUGUGUUCUCCUUCCUGGUAUUGCUAGAGAAGUCAGGCAGUGAUUUAGAACAGGGAAGCCAACAUCAUUUGUUCAUGUUAUUUAUCACCAGUUGGAACCAAUUAGAUGGCUAGAAUUCAUCAGUAAACAAUA